This 448-nucleotide ribosomal RNA is filed under the name uncultured bacterium. RNAcentral's name for it is "partial 16S ribosomal RNA". It matches the Rfam family "Bacterial small subunit ribosomal RNA", at positions 29 to 523 of the family's 1533-position model. The record is from RNAcentral.
AACGAACGCUGGCGGCAUGCCUAACACAUGCAAGUCGAACGAGAUCUUCGGGUCUAGUGGCGCACGGGUGCGUAACGCGUGGGAAUCUGCCUUUGGUUCGGAAUAACAGUUGGAAACGACUGCUAAUACCGGAUGAUGACGAAAGUCCAAAGAUUUAUCGCCAGAGGAUGAGCCCGCGUAGGAUUAGCUAGUUGGUGUGGUAAAGGCGCACCAAGGCGACGAUCCUUAGCUGGUCUGAGAGGAUGAUCAGCCACACUGGGACUGAGACACGGCCCAGACUCCUACGGGAGGCAGCAGUGGGGAAUAUUGGACAAUGGGCGAAAGCCUGAUCCAGCAAUGCCGCGUGAGUGAUGAAGGCCUUAGGGUUGUAAAGCUCUUUUACCCGGGAUGAUAAUGACAGUACCGGGAGGAUAAGCUCCGGCUAACUCCGUGCCAGCAGCCGCAGUAA